This 406-nucleotide ribosomal RNA is filed under the name uncultured bacterium. Its description in RNAcentral is "partial 16S ribosomal RNA". It matches the Rfam family "Bacterial small subunit ribosomal RNA", at positions 30 to 526 of the family's 1533-position model. The record is from RNAcentral.
AUUGAACGCUGGCGGCAGGCCUAACACAUGCAAGUCGAACGAGUGGCGGACGGGUGAGUAAUGUCUGGGAAACUGCCCGAUGGAGGGGGAUAACUACUGGAAACGGUAGCUAAUACCGCAUACCAUCGGAUGUGCCCAGAUGGGAUUAGCUAGUAGGUGGGGUAAUGGCUCACCUAGGCGACGAUCCCUAGCUGGUCUGAGAGGAUGACCAGCCACACUGGAACUGAGACACGGUCCAGACUCCUACGGGAGGCAGCAGUGGGGAAUCUUGCACAAUGGGCCCAAGCCUGAUGCAGCCAUGCCGCGUGUAUGAAGAAGGCCUUCGGGUUGUAAACCGCUUUCAGCCAUGACGCGGUAGUGGCAGAAGAAGCACCGGCUAACUACGUGCCAGCAGCCGCGGUAAUAC